AUAUGUGCGUGUAUAUUUGUGUGUGUUUAUCGGUAUGUCUCAAUGUAAUCUGUGUGGACAUGCAGGUGUGGGUAUAUGUAUGUGUAUUCAUAUGAUUACAGGCAUCUGUGUGUGUGUGUAUGUUUCUAUGUGUUGUGCAUCUGCCUGUGAAGGGGGUUAGGGACAGACAGGCACAAAUCAGCUGACACACAGGAGUUCCCAGGCUAGAAAGGCAGAGACAGAAUGAGAGGGAGUAGAGGAUGUCAGGACCCAGGAGGAAUGGGAGGAGAGAGAAAGCUAGAGUUGAGACUGUGGGCGGUUCAAAAAAGGAAAGGACUUGAGGGCUUUGGGCGGGGGCUGGAGUGUAGGACCGGAGGGCAGGGUUUCCAGGCUCCAGCUGGGACCAGGCUGAGAAGGGCAGGGCUGCUCUGCGGUGCGGGGUCGGGGUGUCUGGGUGGGGAGGAAGACCUGCAGGAGAGAGAAUGUCCACCCGGGGGCGCCAAACGUCCUUCCACAGAGUUCGCCAGACGCUGAGACCCGUGAGUGGAUGAAACCGACUCACCCUAGCGGAGGCUGAAAAGGAGCCAGAGCCGAGGAAGGAGAGGGGAUCGAGGACAGAAGAAUCCAGAACACGAGAUGGGGGAGGGGAGGAAAUGGAGGACGAGUGAGACCGUGGUGAGCAGAGCAGCAAGAAUCUAGCAACUGGAGAGGGCAGGGCGGUAGAAUCAAGGAUGGGGCAGGCCUAGGAGUGUGCAGAGCCCAGAAAGGUCUAGAAAAGCCGGGGAGAGGAGACGAAUUUAGGGGGCCGGGGAUGAACACAUUCUGCCCUGACGGACGGGAGGGGAAAGUCGGGGUGAGGAGUAACUCGGCGGCGGGAAGUGGGGGGCUGCGGGGGCCUUCUUGCGCAGUUUCCGUUCUUGAGGAAAAAGAGGCCCGAGUCGCCCCCAGCGCUGCUGGAGCCGCCAGCCUCCCGGCCGCCUUGGGCAGCUCAGGGCUUGUGGGAUCCACACCGGCCGCGCGCUUCCCCUUCGGCGCGGUCCUUCCACUCCGAGGGCGCCUCCGCGGCGCAGAGCUUCUCCUUCCCCCUGUUCACCCCUCUGUUCUGUCCCUUGAAGACCGGCGCCCGGGCCCUGUGCCCCGCGACUCCUCUCAAGGUCCCCAGGGCCCCGCCGGCCCUUCUCCCUCAGGUCGGGAAGCGGCCUCCCAGCCCCGCGCCCGGCGCUGCCCUGCUCGCCACACGGACCCCUCCUCAGGGCUCCCCGCCGGAGUCUCCCCUUUGAAGCCUCUCCGGCCCUCGGCCCUCCUGCCUCCUGGCCCCUGCAGGCCCGGCCCUCGGCCUGCGGGACCCUCAGCCCAGCAGGAGAACAAGGUCAGCACACGACCAGGCAGGAGGCCACAGCUACCAUUUCUCCAGGGUCAGCUGUAUUGUCAGAAAGGCAGAUAGACUUGGACUGAUUUGAACCUGGAGAGACAUCACUAACAAGAUGAUAACAGUGUUCAGGAGACAAGGAUUACCAGCUUGCCUUCCUGUAUUGGUUCCUCCACUGCAGGAAGCAGGACAAAAUAUAGAAACCGAAUUUUUGCUGUUACCGGCAACGCCCAAAUGUUCCCUUCUCGCCUGUGUGCCUGUUCAGUCAUUCUUUGUGACCCUUUGCACUGUGGCCCCCCGGGCUCCAAUGUCCAUGGGGUUUCCCAGCAAAAAUACUGGAGUGGCCUGCCAUUUCCUACGCCAGCGGAUCUUACGCAUCCGGAGACCAGGCUCCAGUCCCCGGCAUAUCCUGCGCUGCAGGCGUCUUCUUUACCGCUCAGCCACCCUGACAACGUGUACGCUUCACCCUAAAGAAAUAAAGGGCAUCUGAACUCUCACGUGGCCUCCCGCCUGUUUCUGUGCUGACUUCCUUCUCCUGGAGGGCGGAGACGCCAGGCAGGGGGCAGACCAGGGAAGGGCCGGAUGGUAACCAAGCAGGACCCACUGAGGCUUUCCCAGAAGAAACCCCCAGUCAAGUCCUCCACCAGCCUUUUGUCUGUAGAAAAUCUUUCACCAAAUAAUCCAUGUAGGGGCUUCCCUGGUGGUCUGCUGGCUAAGGCUCCACCAGUCAAAUUCAUGGGCUGAAGGUAGGACCCAGGUCGGGGAACAAAGAUCCCUCAUGCCUUCUGGCGAGGUUGAGGGGAAAUCUGGCCCCAGUACACAGAGGCCCCAGUUUGGCAAGGAGGUCUGGAGGGAAGCCAGGAGCAAUUGGAAGGACAGGGUCGUGGGGGCAGGAGGGCUGAGGGACCUGAGUCCCAGCAGGCUGGAAGGCUAAGAGGUGCCAAAGGACACAUUCCAGAGGGGAGCCCUGAGGCGGCGGCCUGUGCACAGCAGGGCUGCCGAGCUCAGCGGAGGGGCCGGAGGAACCUGGGCGGCCCCGAGACGAGGCGGGGGCACAGGUCCUGGGCGCCCAUCUUCAAGGGACAGAAUAGGGUCAGAACAGAGCCAAGGAGAAGCUCUGCGCCACGGUGGAGCCCCCGGAGUGUAAGGACCGCCCCGGAGGGGAAGCGUGUGGACGGCGGUGGGUGUGGACGCCAAGCAGCUCCGUGCUUCCCAAGACGGGGCCCGGGAGGCUGGCGGUUCCACCAGCGCUGGAUGCCCCGGAGGCCUCUCUUUGCCUCGAGGAGGGAAACUGGGAAUGCAGCCCUGUCCCUCCCCUAUCAGAGUUAUUCCUCACCCUGACUUUGCCCUCCCAUCCCUCAGGGCAGUGCCCCUCUCUUCACCCCUGCCCCCUAAACUCAUCCCCCCAUCCCCGGCUUUUCUAGAUUCUGGGCUCUGCACACUCCUAGGCCUGCCCCAUCCUCGAUUCUCUGCCCCUCCCCGCUCUCCAGGUUCUAGAUUUCAGACAGGCUGGGACCUGGGCUGCAGUGCUUCCAUGUGGACACACAUCUUCUUGAGACACAGACAACAAGGAAACGACAAGGGACUAAAUGUAACACUACGGACAUGAACAGCUAGGGCAAAUGAUGCACGAGAUAAAAAAAGAAAAAAGAUCCAAACUCCAGUCACCCCUUCGGAGCUGGAGAACAAAGGCGGGGGUCCUGGUCGCGAUGCCUGCACAGAGCACCACCAAGGGGCUGGGCAGACCUCGCAUGCAGCCCUCCAGCCCAGCGCUGGACCCAGCCGGCCCUCACCCCAUUUAAUGGCCCAGAUUUCCCCACAUGCGCCCCGACACCCCCUCACCCCACAGGAGCAAACAAGGCAACUUGUCACUUGUUUGACUCCCUUCCUGAUGCACCCAGAGCUCCAAUAAAACCUUGUCUGAGUUUCC
This is a long non-coding RNA of Capra hircus (goat), 3278 nucleotides long. RefSeq lists it as uncharacterized. The record is from RefSeq and is a predicted model, not a curated record. The transcript has 2 exons. Lineage: Eukaryota; Metazoa; Chordata; Mammalia; Artiodactyla; Bovidae.